GACGAACGCUGGCGGCGUGCUUAACACAUGCAAGUCGCACGGAGUGGCGAACGGGUGAGUAACACGUGGGUGAUCUGCCUUGCACUUCGGGCUAAGCUUGGGGAACUGGGUCUAAUACCGGAUAGUGCAAGAUGAUCUCGCGGCCUAUCAGCUUGUUGGUGGGGUAAUUGCCUACCAAGGCGUCGACGGGUAGCCGGCCUGAGAGGGUGUACGGCCAGACUGGGACUGUGAUACGGCCCAGACCCCUACGGGGGGCAGCAGUGGGGAAUCUUGCACAAUGCGCGGAGGCCUGAUGCAGCGACGCCGCGUGGGGGAUGAAGGCCUUCGGGUUGUAAACUCCUUUCGACAGGGACGCGGUACCUGUUUAAGAAGCACCGGCUAACUACGUGCAAGCAGCCGCGGUAAUUC
This 408-nucleotide ribosomal RNA is filed under the name uncultured bacterium. RNAcentral describes it as "partial 16S ribosomal RNA". It matches the Rfam family "Bacterial small subunit ribosomal RNA", at positions 28 to 526 of the family's 1533-position model. The record is from RNAcentral.